GAUGAACGCUGGCGGCGUGCCUAAUACAUGCAAGUCGAGCGAACAGACGAGGAGCUUGCUCCUCUGAUGUUAGCGGCGGACGGGUGAGUAACACGUGGAUAACCUACCUAUAAGACUGGGAUAACUUCGGGAAACCGGUGCUAAUACCGGAUAACAUGUUGAACCGCAUGGUUCAACAGUGAAAGACGGUCUUGCUGUCACUUAUAGAUGGAUCCGCGCCGCAUUAGCUAGUUGGUAAGGUAACGGCUUACCAAGGCAACGAUGCUUAGCCGACCUGAGAGGGUGAUCGGCCACACUGGAACUGAGACACGGUCCAGACUCCUACGGGAGGCAGCAGUAGGGAAUCUUCCGCAAUGGGCGAAAGCCUGACGGAGCAACGCCGCGUGAGUGAAGAAGGUCUUCGGAUCGUAAAACUCUGUUAUUAGGGAAGAACAAAUGUGUAAGUAACUAUGCACGUCUUGACGGUACCUAAUCAGAAAGCCACGGCUAACUACGUG
RNAcentral lists this ribosomal RNA (497 nucleotides) under uncultured bacterium. RNAcentral describes it as "partial 16S ribosomal RNA". It matches the Rfam family "Bacterial small subunit ribosomal RNA", at positions 28 to 507 of the family's 1533-position model. The record is from RNAcentral.